Molecule: long non-coding RNA, 1045 nt
Filed under: Equus caballus (horse)
Lineage: Eukaryota; Metazoa; Chordata; Mammalia; Perissodactyla; Equidae
Description: lncRNA (ENSECAG00000049960.1)
Source: RNAcentral
GUGGGAAUGGAGAGGGGGCUGAAGGCGGGGGCGGUGGGGGGAGCUCUGGUCAGGGAUCUCGGUUUCCAGCGUGAGGGCCAGGGUCUCCCGUGUGGGCUCUGGGCAUGGUGAGGAAGCGCACCUUGUCGUCCAAGCGGGAUCCGAGUGCAGCAGUGUCAGCCUCACCGGGGAGUGACCUCAAAAAGCAGACUGUCACCUCCCUAGUCCCCCAAGACCUCUUCUCCUGAGCCUCCAAUGGAGGAAGCGCCCCAGGGAAUUAGGUGCAAGGGCCUGAGAAGGACGCACCAAGUAGAGGCUGCGGAGCAGCCUGGCAGGAGGGAAGGAAGGGCAGGUGGGUGUGGGGGUGCCAGGUGGAAGGCGUAGAGGGCAGGAUGUCCUUGGACGUCGCAGAGCCCAAGGAGGUGAGGACAGGGCUGAGGGCGGGGACCUGUAACCCUAGAUGACCGAGGCAGACUUUGGGGGCGGGGUGCCUCUCGAAGGCUCAGAGCUCUUUGCCAGGUCGGACGUCUUUCACCCCUCAGAGGAACAGCACAGUCUAAGGAGCUGUUUCAAUUGUUCAGUCCCCGUGCCUGUUGAUUACUUGGUUUUGCCACAAGGCUCGGUUGGGUGUUGGCAUUCCAAACUUCUGCCUUCAAAGGAACAGGCCCAGAUCAGUCGGGGUCGGAGGACUUUUCGCCAGCGGGGGCUCGCAGCGCAGCCACCUGAGAAGACGUGGACAUUUGAAGAAGGGCUGGAUCUGGGCCUCCGGGGUGUCAGUGACCAAGCAGAUGACAUCAGAAAGCCUCUGGAAGGUUUCCUGUGCCCUCUCAUUUCCGGCUUUCUCUUCCCGGCUACCAUUUGUUCUCUGGUCCAAUUCCUACCCCACUCCUCGGGUCAGAUACUGCCCCUCAGACCACCCACCAUGAGACUCAGCCUCCCUGGAGAGUGGCCUACUGAGGCAGCAGGUUCUCCCAGGCCCUCAGGACUCUGAGCUGCACUUGUAGCCUCUGGGCCUCCCCUCCCCCCUUCCCUGAACCACAUCCAGACUCAAGCCCCUGGGCAGGCC